Molecule: ribosomal RNA, 468 nt
Filed under: uncultured bacterium
Lineage: Bacteria
Description: partial 16S ribosomal RNA
Rfam family: Bacterial small subunit ribosomal RNA
Source: RNAcentral
GACGAACGCUGGCGGCGUGCUUAACACAUGCAAGUCGAACGGAAAGGCCCUGCUUUUGUGGGGUGCUCGAGUGGCGAACGGGUGAGUAACACGUGAGUAACCUGCCCUUGACUUUGGGAUAACUUCAGGAAACUGGGGCUAAUACCGGAUAGGAGCUCCUGCUGCAUGGUGGGGGUUGGAAAGUUUCGGCGGUUGGGGAUGGACUCGCGGCUUAUCAGCUUGUUGGUGGGGUAGUGGCUUACCAAGGCUUUGACGGGUAGCCGGCCUGAGAGGGUGACCGGACACAUUAGGACUGAGAUACGGCCCAGACUCCUACGGGAGGCAGCGGUGGGGAAGAUUGCACAAUGGGCGGAAGCCUGAUGCAGCAACGCCGCGUGCGGGAUGACGGCCUUCGGGUUGUAAUCCGCUUUCGCCUGUGACGAAGCGUGAGUGACGGUAAUGGGUAAAGAAGCACCGGCUAACUACGUG